ACUUUCUACAGAAUCUGGUGAUUUUUUAUUGGAACACUGAAAGGCCUAUACUUUUAAUAUGUAAACUUCUUGCUGAUACUUGUCACUCCCUCAUCCACGUAUAUACAUCUUUAUUUAUCUUUCAAUCACUUGCAGUUUUAAUUUCUUCGAGAGUUUAUGGUGCUGAGUCGCUUCUUUGGCAUUCCCUUUUGUUAAGACGAGAUAAUAUCUGCAACAAAUGGAAUAAGGAGCUGGCCUUCGCUAGAGACAGCCUGCUGAAUCAUAAGGGCCUCCUGCGAUAUAUAUAUAUAUAUAUAUAUAUAUUAGAUCUGCUGAAGUUGAGCAUUCUUCGCUUGUUCUUUGGUGUGUUUCUAAGCUUUAAUCGCUAUCAGAAUUGUUUAUGAUCCUAUCAAAUAUAUGUAAGAUUUACUUCUGGCUAUGGUUUUCUGCAGGUAAGACGGUUCGAAACAUGUUUUCAUAGAGAAGUUAUUGUGAAGUGAUAUGGCUAACCAUCGAAGUUUAAUUUGUUAGCUCGUAAUUAUUGUGCAAUACUUGUGCUCUAUUUCAGCCAAUUACUAGAGGGAUUCUGUAGUUUAGUUAAACUUUCCUCUCAUACUUGUUAUGUUCUAAGGAUUAGUUGGCUCUAAUUUAUUGUUGUAUGUAUUUUGAGUUCGGUAUGAACAAUGAAGGUGUUAGAUAGUUGUGUUGUAUUGCCUUUGAAAACUUUGAUCAUUUAAUAUAACUAUGUUUUGCGCGGGUGAAUUCAUAAUAUAGUUGAACGGAGAGUGCGAAAGGAAAAUGAUGCUUCAACUUUUAACUAUAUUAAUAUUUCUUUAAUUUUUCUCUUUUUCCAUGAUGGUGGUGUCCAGUUCAGUUUGCAUGCACCUCGAUUAGCUCACUGGUUGCUUUACUAUCUCCCGCCAGAACAGGUACGUAGUAACUCUACUCAUCAAGACUUGAUCAGAUAGGAAGAAAUCACGUCAUAUUUUGUUACAUACAAACAACAACAACAACCCAUUGAAAUCCCACAAGUGGGGUAUGAGGAGGGUAGUGAGUACGCAGAUAUGAGGAGGGUAGUGAGUACGCAGACCUUACCCCUAUCCUAAGAGAAUAGAGAGGCUAUAUCCGAAAGACCUUUGGCUCAAGUGGACGAAAAGAGACAAAUACAUCAAUACCAUUAAUAGAAAACAUAGAAUAAUAACAACGACAUAAGAACCAGAAAAUCGAUAAAAAGCAAUAACAAUAAC
Molecule: long non-coding RNA, 1226 nt
Filed under: Nicotiana benthamiana
Lineage: Eukaryota; Viridiplantae; Streptophyta; Magnoliopsida; Solanales; Solanaceae
Description: long non-coding RNA (NBEN_LNC002679)
Source: RNAcentral